UGAAGCUCUGACAUUCCUGCAG
This 22-nucleotide microRNA is filed under the name Homo sapiens (human). RNAcentral describes it as "hsa-miR-6806-3p". The record is from miRBase by way of RNAcentral. Lineage: Eukaryota; Metazoa; Chordata; Mammalia; Primates; Hominidae.